GUGUCAGCCGCCGCGGUAAGACAGAGGGUGCAAGCGUUGUUCGGAAUUAUUGGGCGUAAAGGGCGCGUAGGCGGCUUUGUAAGUCAGAUGUGAAAUCCCAGGGCUUAACCCUGGAAGUGCAUCUGAUACUGCUUAGCUUGAAUCCCGGAGAGGGUGGUGGAAUUCCUGGUGUAGAGGUGAAAUUCGUAGAUAUCAGGAGGAACACCGGUGGCGAAGGCGACCACCUGGACGGAGAUUGACGCUGAGGCGCGAAAGCGUGGGGAGCAAACAGGAUUAGAAACCCCAGUAGUCC
This 292-nucleotide ribosomal RNA is filed under the name uncultured bacterium. RNAcentral's name for it is "partial 16S ribosomal RNA". It matches the Rfam family "Bacterial small subunit ribosomal RNA", at positions 505 to 796 of the family's 1533-position model. The record is from RNAcentral.